This 489-nucleotide ribosomal RNA is filed under the name uncultured bacterium. RNAcentral describes it as "bacterial SSU rRNA". It matches the Rfam family "Bacterial small subunit ribosomal RNA", at positions 340 to 818 of the family's 1533-position model. The record is from RNAcentral.
UACGGAAGGCAGCAGUGGGGAAUAUUGCACAAUGGGCGAAAGCCUGAUGCAGCUAUGCCGCGUGUAUGAAGAAGGCCUUAGGGUUGUAAAGUACUUUCAUCGGGGAGGAAAAAACAAAACUAAUAAUUUUAUUUCUUGACGUUACCCGAAAAAGAAGCACCGGCUAACUCCGUGCCAGCAGCCGCGGUAAUACGGAGGGUGCUAGCGUUAAUCAGAAUUACUGGGCGUAAAGAGCACGUAGGUGGUUUUUUUAAGUCAGAUGUGAAAUCCCUGGGCUUAACCUGGAACUGCAUUUUGAAACUGAAAUACUAGAGUAUCGUAGAGGGAGGUAGAAUUCUAGGUGUAGCGGUGAAAUGCGUAGAUAUCUGGAGGAAUACCUGUGGCGAAAGCGGCCUCCUAAACGAAUACUGACACUGAGGUGCGAAAGCGUGGGGAGCAAACAGGGAUUAGAUACCCUCGAGACGUGCACGGACGGCAACACGGGAGGUA